UACGUAGGGGGCGAGCGUUAUCCGGAUUCAUUGGGCGUAAAGCGCGCGUAGGCGGCCGCCUAAGCGGAACCUCUAACCCCGGGGCUCAACCUCGGGCCGGGUUCCGGACUGGGCGGCUCGAGUGCGGUAGAGGAGAGCGGAAUUCCCGGUGUAGCGGUGGAAUGCGCAGAUAUCGGGAAGAACACCGAUGGCGAAGGCAGCUCUCUGGGCCGUCACUGACGCUGAGGCGCGAAAGCUGGGGGAGCGAACAG
Molecule: ribosomal RNA, 251 nt
Filed under: uncultured bacterium
Lineage: Bacteria
Description: partial 16S ribosomal RNA
Rfam family: Bacterial small subunit ribosomal RNA
Source: RNAcentral